GUAGGUUAGUCAUAAAGCCACAUUCACUCUCUUGCUUUCUCUGUCGCAUGCACUCUCUUGCCCUUCCACCUAGUUUCCAUGUUAUGAUGCAGCAAGAAGGCCCUUGCCAGAUGUGGCUCCUGGAUUGUGGACUUUUCAGCCCCCAGAACUGUGAGCCAAACAAACUUCUUUUGUUCAUAACUUCCCCAGUCUGUGAUAUCCUGUUACAGCAGCAGAAAAUGGACUAAGACACCCAGGGAUGUACCUGGAACCUGGAAAAAGGGGCAGAUCUGCAUCACGGGCUUGCAUGUCCAAUUUCACCUUGGCACUUGCUUCUCCGAGGGUCUGGACAUGGGGCUUCGUUUGAGUCUGGAAGCAGUGGAGAGGGGCCAGAAGCUCCAGGCCUUGGCUUGGAGAUCUCUACAGGUGUGCAUGGAGAUGUUUGAAGUGCUAAUGGCUGAGACAGAGCAAGUGGCAGAGGCCUAGGAGACGGAGGCUGAAAGAGUCUGAGGAGGAAAGGAGGCACUGAGGGACUCACAUGAAGCUACUCUGUCAGCAUUCUAAAACUUCUGACAUUCUUUUCUAUGAAGAUAAUUGAAUCACCAAAUUUGAUGAAAUGUUCCCCAAAUAUCAGGUAACAGAUUUUCUGUGGGGGUCUAUGGAUACACUUUAAAGUCAAGGAGAAAAUUUUUGGAUUGUUUUCCAGCGUGGACUAUUUCUUCACUGACAAGGAUUUAAAAACAAUAAAGCAUUGUACAUCGACAGAAAACAUGACACAUGUGGACCUUUCUGUAGAAGAACACAUUGCAAUCUGAAAAUCUAGAGAAUAUAAACUUGUCUUGAACAUUGUCCAAGAAAUUUUACUUAACAAAUUACUGAAGAGUCUGAGUCAUUCCAUGUUAGAGCAUAUCUUUGGUGAUACUCUUAUAGUAAG
This 913-nucleotide long non-coding RNA is filed under the name Homo sapiens (human). RNAcentral's name for it is "HSALNT0200097". Lineage: Eukaryota; Metazoa; Chordata; Mammalia; Primates; Hominidae. The record is from RNAcentral.